GCUGCGCCGGCCCGACGGAUUAGUGUUAGCGUGGCAACGGAGUUUGGGUGUUAUGAGUGUUGUUCUCCCGCAAAUCUGGUCCUCCUGUCUUGAGGGAUAGCGCUUGUCCGUGGAGCGAGGCCGGGGCUGCAUGCAUUUAGGAUAUAGAAGCCUCAAGAAAGAAUAAUGAUGAUGAUGGCUGCUUACUGUCACUUAGAUGAGAACGACUCCGUCACCUUCUCUGUAAAGGACAAAGGUCGGCUGUCCCCAGACCACCACUAUCACCGCCGCCGCCGCUGCCACCGACAGGAACUUUGGUCACCCUUCUCGUGUUGUGUCCUGAGUUCAUUACUAUCAAGUGGAUAUCUGCCUUUGCAUGGAGGCGCCCGUGUAUGCUCGUCGCUUCAUAGACUUAAUUAGAAGGGUAGACUGUACUGGAGUAAAGUUCCAUCUCUAAACUGGGAAGUGUGCCAUCCAUAAACUAGGAAGUGAUCAGCUGUAUUAAGUAGCAUAUGAUUAUGCACUUAGGGUAAGUGCAUCAAACAUGUCACAUCAUCAAUAACAAUAAAAACAACAAAAUGAAAGAAACUUGA
Molecule: long non-coding RNA, 572 nt
Organism: Scylla paramamosain (green mud crab)
Lineage: Eukaryota; Metazoa; Arthropoda; Malacostraca; Decapoda; Portunidae
Exons: 4
Source: RefSeq, a predicted model, not a curated record